Molecule: ribosomal RNA, 781 nt
Filed under: uncultured Gammaproteobacteria bacterium
Lineage: Bacteria; Pseudomonadati; Pseudomonadota; Gammaproteobacteria
Description: bacterial SSU rRNA
Rfam family: Bacterial small subunit ribosomal RNA
Source: RNAcentral
UGAUCCUGGCUCAGAUUGAACGCUGGCGGCAGGCCUAACACAUGCAAGUCGAACGGUAACAGGAAGCAGCUUGCUGCUUCGCUGACGAGUGGCGGACGGGUGAGUAAUGUCUGGGAAGCUGCCUGAUGGAGGGGGAUAACUACUGGAAACGGUAGCUAAUACCGCAUAAUGUCGCAAGACCAAAGAGGGGGACCUUCGGGCCUCUUGCCAUCGGAUGUGCCCAGAUGGGAUUAGCUUGUUGGUGGGGUAACGGCUCACCAAGGCGACGAUCCCUAGCUGGUCUGAGAGGAUGACCAGCCACACUGGAACUGAGACACGGUCCAGACUCCUACGGGAGGCAGCAGUGGGGAAUAUUGCACAAUGGGCGCAAGCCUGAUGCAGCCAUGCCGCGUGUAUGAAGAAGGCCUUCGGGUUGUAAAGUACUUUCAGCGGGGAGGAAGGGAGUAAAGUUAAUACCUUUGCUCAUUGACGUUACCCGCAGAAGAAGCACCGGCUAACUCCGUGCCAGCAGCCGCGGUAAUACGGAGGGUGCAAGCGUUAAUCGGAAUUACUGGGCGUAAAGCGCACGCAGGCGGUUUGUUAAGUCAGAUGUGAAAUCCCCGGGCUCAACCUGGGAACUGCAUCUGAUACUGGCAAGCUUGAGUCUCGUAGAGGGGGGUAGAAUUCCAGGUGUAGCGGUGAAAUGCGUAGAGAUCUGGAGGAAUACCGGUGGCGAAGGCGGCCCCCUGGACGAAGACUGACGCUCAGGUGCGAAAGCGUGGGGAGCAAACAGGAUUAGAUA